RNAcentral lists this ribosomal RNA (623 nucleotides) under uncultured bacterium. RNAcentral describes it as "bacterial SSU rRNA". It matches the Rfam family "Bacterial small subunit ribosomal RNA", at positions 57 to 677 of the family's 1533-position model. The record is from RNAcentral.
GCAAGUCGAACGGUAACAUUUCUAGCUUGCUAGAAGAUGACGAGUGGCGGACGGGUGAGUAAUGCUUGGGAAUUUGCCUUUGCGAGGGGGAUAACAGUUGGAAACGACUGCUAAUACCGCAUAAUGUCUUCGGACCAAACGGGGCUUCGGCUCCGGCGCAAAGAGAGGCCCAAGUGAGAUUAGCUAGUUGGUAAGGUAAUGGCUUACCAAGGCGACGAUCUCUAGCUGUUCUGAGAGGAAGAUCAGCCACACUGGGACUGAGACACGGCCCAGACUCCUACGGGAGGCAGCAGUGGGGAAUAUUGCACAAUGGGGGGAACCCUGAUGCAGCCAUGCCGCGUGUGUGAAGAAGGCCUUCGGGUUGUAAAGCACUUUCAGUUGUGAGGAAAAGUUAGUAGUUAAUACCUGCUAGCCGUGACGUUAACAACAGAAGAAGCACCGGCUAACUCCGUGCCAGCAGCCGCGGUAAUACGGAGGGUGCGAGCGUUAAUCGGAAUUACUGGGCGUAAAGCGCACGCAGGCGGUUUGUUAAGCUAGAUGUGAAAGCCCCGGGCUCAACCUGGGAUGGUCAUUUAGAACUGGCAGACUAAAGUCUUGGAGAGGGGAGUGGAAUUCCAGGUGUA